This 482-nucleotide ribosomal RNA is filed under the name uncultured bacterium. Its description in RNAcentral is "partial 16S ribosomal RNA". It matches the Rfam family "Bacterial small subunit ribosomal RNA", at positions 30 to 507 of the family's 1533-position model. The record is from RNAcentral.
AUUGAACGCUGGCGGCAUGCCUUACACAUGCAAGUCGAACGGUAACAGGACUUCGGAUGCUGACGAGUGGCGAACGGGUGAGUAAUACAUCGGAACGUGCCCAGACGUGGGGGAUAACGAGGCGAAAGCUUUGCUAAUACCGCAUACGAUCUAAGGAUGAAAGCAGGGGACCGCAAGGCCUUGUGCGUUUGGAGCGGCCGAUGGCAGAUUAGGUAGUUGGUGGGAUAAAAGCUUACCAAGCCGACGAUCUGUAGCUGGUCUGAGAGGACGACCAGCCACACUGGGACUGAGACACGGCCCAGACUCCUACGGGAGGCAGCAGUGGGGAAUUUUGGACAAUGGGCGAAAGCCUGAUCCAGCAAUGCCGCGUGCAGGAUGAAGGCCUUCGGGUUGUAAACUGCUUUUGUACGGAACGAAAAGGCUCUGGCUAAUACCUGGGGCACAUGACGGUACCGUAAGAAUAAGCACCGGCUAACUACGUG